This 253-nucleotide ribosomal RNA is filed under the name uncultured bacterium. RNAcentral describes it as "partial 16S ribosomal RNA". It matches the Rfam family "Bacterial small subunit ribosomal RNA", at positions 524 to 776 of the family's 1533-position model. The record is from RNAcentral.
AACGUAGGACGCAAGCGUUAUCCGGAGUUACUGGGCGUAAAGCGCGAGCAGGCGGCUCGACAAGUUCGAUGUGAAAGCACCCGGCUCAACCGGGCGAGGCCAUUGAAAACUAGCGAGCUGGAGGGCAGUAGAGGCAGGCGGAAUUCCGGGAGGAGUGGUGAAAUGCGUAGAGAUCCGGAGGAACACCAGAGGCGAAGGCGGCCUGCUGGGCUGCACCUGACGCUGAGCCGCGAAAGCCAGGGGAGCGAACGGG